RNAcentral lists this ribosomal RNA (492 nucleotides) under uncultured bacterium. Its description in RNAcentral is "partial 16S ribosomal RNA". It matches the Rfam family "Bacterial small subunit ribosomal RNA", at positions 29 to 507 of the family's 1533-position model. The record is from RNAcentral.
AGUGAACGCUGGCGGUAGGCCUAACACAUGCAAGUCGAACGGCAGCACAGUAAGAGCUUGCUCUUACGGGUGGCGAGUGGCGGACGGGUGAGGAAUACAUCGGAAUCUACUUUUUCGUGGGGGAUAACGUAGGGAAACUUACGCUAAUACCGCAUACGACCUACGGGUGAAAGCAGGGGAUCUUCGGACCUUGCGCGAUUGAAUGAGCCGAUGUCGGAUUAGCUAGGUGGCGAGGUAAAGGCCCACCAAGGCGACGAUGCGUAGCCGAUCUGAGAGGGUGAGCGGCAACAAUGGAACUGAGACACGGUCCAGACUCCGACGGGAGGCAGCAGUAGGGAAUCGUCCGCAAUGGGCGAAAGCCUGACGGAGCAAUGCCGCGUGAGUGAUGAAGGGCUUCGGAUCGUAAAACUCUGUUAUUAGGGAAGAACAAAUGUGUAAGGAACUAUGCACGUCUUGACGGUACCUAAUCAGAAAGCCACGGCUAGCUACGUG